This 572-nucleotide long non-coding RNA is filed under the name Equus caballus (horse). RNAcentral describes it as "lncRNA (ENSECAG00000045550.1)". Lineage: Eukaryota; Metazoa; Chordata; Mammalia; Perissodactyla; Equidae. The record is from RNAcentral.
AAUAACAAAACUUUUGAAAUAUGGAAUUCCUAUUAAUAUUCCUUAAGCAAUGCAAUGCAUUUUCAUUAUCAUCUUGCCUUGUGUCAGCAAAAAUUCUAUGAACUAGUAAAAUGCAACAGAUAUAGACAUAGAGAAUAAUUGUAUUAAUUCAAGGAUGAUGCAUAUGGAUAUCAGGUCAUGAGAUUUGAAGUAUUUAACCUUGGGAAGAAAGGAUGUGAAGAUUAUGAGAGCUCCAAUUGGGAGAGUGUUCAAGCGCGAGGGGGAAGAUUUCCAGCAGGGCAGCCGCAUACGGAAGAUUGGGCAGAGUCCUCGCAGAUGGCGGUGUCAGAGCAGGGGAGCCUGAAGAAGAGUAUAGAAGAAAAGCGACUAAGCAUUGCAGAUUUCCAGCAAUCAUGGGAAUGAACCAAUUUUUCUAUUGUGUGUAAGAGACAUUUUUAAUCACCUUUAUGUGUUCAAAGAAUAGAUUGAAUCAGUUAUUUUGGAAAAAUAUGACACAGCCUCUAAUCAUGCUAUUUAUUUAAUAACAAUUUAUUUAUAAAUACUGCUAUUAAAGAGUUCAUUAAAAAUGGCUC